AUAGGUGGCAAGCGUUGUCCGGGAAUUAUUGGGGCGUAAAGCGCGCGCAGGCGGUUCUUUAAGUCUGAUGUGAAAGCCCACGGGCUCAACCGUGGAGGGUCAUUGGAAACUGGAGAACUUGAGUACAGAAGAGGAAAGCGGAAUUCCACGUGUAGCGGUGAAAUGCGUAGAGAUGUGGAGGAACACCAGUGGCGAAGGCGGCAUUCUGGUCUGUAACUGACGCUGAGGCGCGAAAGCGUGGGGAGCAAACAGGAUUAGAUACCCUGGUAGUCCACGCCGUAAACGAUGAGUGCUAAGUGUUAGGGGGUUUCCGCCCCUUAGUGCUGCAGCUAACGCAUUAAGCACUCCGCCUGGGGAGUACGGCCGCAAAGGCUG
RNAcentral lists this ribosomal RNA (375 nucleotides) under uncultured organism. RNAcentral's name for it is "partial 16S ribosomal RNA". It matches the Rfam family "Bacterial small subunit ribosomal RNA", at positions 527 to 896 of the family's 1533-position model. The record is from RNAcentral.